ACGGGAUUUUAUAACGGACUUUGG
This 24-nucleotide microRNA is filed under the name Brachypodium distachyon (stiff brome). RNAcentral describes it as "bdi-miR7721-5p". Lineage: Eukaryota; Viridiplantae; Streptophyta; Magnoliopsida; Poales; Poaceae. The record is from miRBase by way of RNAcentral.